RNAcentral lists this ribosomal RNA (500 nucleotides) under uncultured bacterium. RNAcentral's name for it is "bacterial SSU rRNA". It matches the Rfam family "Bacterial small subunit ribosomal RNA", at positions 28 to 526 of the family's 1533-position model. The record is from RNAcentral.
GACGAACGCUGGCGGCGGGCUUAACACAUGCAAGUCGAACGAGAAGCCAGGGCUUGCCCUGGUAGAAAGUGGCGCACGGGUGAGUAACGCGUAGGCAAUCUGCCCUCAGCUGGGGAAUAACCACGGGAAACCGUGGCUAAUACCACAUAACGUCGGAGAACCGCAUGGUCCUCCGAUCAAAGCUCAGGCGGCUGAGGAUGAGCCUGCGUCGGAUUAGCUAGUUGGUGAGGUAACAGCUCACCAAGGCAACGAUCCGUAGCGGGUCUGAGAGGAUGAUCCGCCACACUGGCACUGAGACACGGGCCAGACUCCUACGGGAGGCAGCAGUGAGGAAUAUUGCGCAAUGGAGGAAACUCUGACGCAGCCACGCCGCGUGCAGGAAGACACCCCUCAGGGGCGUAAACUGCUUUUGUACAAGAAGAACACCUGCUCUCGGGCAGGUCUGACGGUACUGUACGAAUAAGGACCGGCUAACUCCGUGCCAGCCGCCGCCGUAACAC